UACGGAGGAUCCGAGCGUUAUCCGGAUUUAUUGGGUUUAAAGGGUGCGUAGGCGGGCUGAUAAGUCAGUGGUGAAAGUUUGCAGCUUAACUGUAAAAUUGCCAUUGAAACUGUUAGUCUUGAGUACAGUAGAGGUAGGCGGAAUGUGUAGUGUAGCGGUGAAAUGCAUAGAUAUUACACAGAACACCAAUUGCGUAGGCAGCUUACUGGAGUGUUACUGACGCUGAGGCACGAUAGCGUGGGGAUCAAACAGG
This 253-nucleotide ribosomal RNA is filed under the name uncultured bacterium. Its description in RNAcentral is "partial 16S ribosomal RNA". It matches the Rfam family "Bacterial small subunit ribosomal RNA", at positions 524 to 776 of the family's 1533-position model. The record is from RNAcentral.